RNAcentral lists this long non-coding RNA (188 nucleotides) under Fukomys damarensis (Damara mole-rat). Its description in RNAcentral is "lncRNA (ENSFDAG00000023763.1)". The record is from RNAcentral. Lineage: Eukaryota; Metazoa; Chordata; Mammalia; Rodentia; Bathyergidae.
AAGAAAAUGAACUGGAGUGGAAAGCAUUUUAAUAUACAGGUUCCUCUUCAGAAAAGUGUGGCUCAGUCCUGCCAUCAACACAAAGGUAAUAUACAUCCACGUGGAUCCUUGCCUUCUCCGUGUGCUUUUAAAAAUCCAAUUCACAAGUUAUUUUCUUCCAUCACGUAAUUAUUCUUGUAUUCCUCACC